Molecule: long non-coding RNA, 622 nt
Organism: Mesocricetus auratus (golden hamster)
Lineage: Eukaryota; Metazoa; Chordata; Mammalia; Rodentia; Cricetidae
Exons: 6
Source: RefSeq, a predicted model, not a curated record
AGUCGAGAUGUAACGCCAUUGGGGUAGGAAGCCCGGAAACCUCUCCGGGUAUUUUCUUCUCACUAUAAACUGUUGGAAUGAUCAUGUGUGAAGGCUGCAGCACACAAAUGAAGAAGACUCAAAAUCUGUUGCAAGUUUCUACUUACGUCUGCAUAUCACAAUCAGAAACACACUGAUGACUUCAUGGUAAAGAGAAACUGGCUUCCAUUAGUGUCUCCAGCACCCGAAAGAGAGGAAAACUACUGAGAGAGAGAAGAAAGGGCUCUACACUUGAGGAAACGGACUGCAUCAUUACCAGGUUUUUCUGCCACUCCUCCUAUCUGCCCAGCUGGUUCCCACCUUCACUCCACUGCCUCUGCAUCUCAGAAUCCUUUGGAUUCUGAAGGUAUGUGGGCAGUUCAAGAGGCAUUUCUCAGGAGCCCUGGGUGCUGCUGUUGGUACUGGAGGCAGGAGAUGUCUGCAGUUGGUGGGAAGGAAAAUGUGUUUCCAAGAUGGUUCAUUCACAUGGCAGUUGGUAGGUGACCUCAGCUCCUCAUUCCAGUGAGCACUAUGUAAGCUGCUGGGUGACCUCAUGAGGUAGCCACUGGAUUCCUCCAGAGUAAUGCAAGAGAGACUCAGACUG